AACCUCCGCAAUGUGAGAAAUCGCGACGGGGGGAUCCCAAGUGCCAUUCUUAACGGGAUGGCUUUUCUUAAGUGUAAAAAGCUUUUGGAAUAAGAGCUGGGCAAGACCGGUGCCAGCCGCCGCGGUAACACCGGCAGCUCUAGUGGUAGCUGUUUUUAUUGGGCCUAAAGCGUUCGUAGCCGGUUUGAUAAGUCACUGGUGAAAUCCUGUAGCUUAACUGUGGGAAUUGCUGGUGAUACUGUUGAACUUGAGGUCGGGAGAGGUUAGCGGUACUCCCAGGGUAGAGGUGAAAUUCUGUAAUCCUGGGAGGACCACCUGUGGCGAAGGCGGCUAACUGGAACGAACCUGACGGUGAGGGACGAAAGCUAGGGGCGCGAACCGGAUUAGAUACCCGGGUAGUCCUAGCCGUAAACGAUGCGGACUUGGUGUUGGGAUGGCUUUGAGCCGCUCCGGUGCCGAAGGGAAGCUGUUAAGUCCGCCGCCUGGGAAGUACGGUCGCAAGACUAAAACUUAAAGGAAGU
Molecule: ribosomal RNA, 521 nt
Filed under: uncultured bacterium
Lineage: Bacteria
Description: bacterial SSU rRNA
Rfam family: Archaeal small subunit ribosomal RNA
Source: RNAcentral